GAUGAACGCUGGCGGCGUGCUUAACACAUGCAAGUCGAACGAUGAAGCCCAGCUUGCUGGGUGGUUUAGUGGCGAACGGGUGAGUAACACGUGAGUAACCUGCCCUUAACUCUGGGAUAAGCCUGGGAAACUGGGUCUAUUACCGGAUAGGAGCGUCCACCGCAUGGUGGGUGUUGGAAAGAUUUAUCGGUUUUGGAUGGACUCGCGGCCUAUCAGCUUGUUGGUGAAGUAGUGGCUCACCAAGGCGACGACGGGUAGCCGGCCUGAGAGGGUGACCGGCCACACUGGGACUGAGACACGGCCCAGACUCCAACGGGAGGCAGCAGUGGGGAAUAUUGCACAAUGGGCGCAAGCCUGAUGCAGCGACGCCGCGUGAGGGAUGACGGCCUUCGGGUUGUAAACCUCUUUCAGUAGGGAAGAAGCGAUAGUGACGGUACCUGCAGAAGAAGCACCGGCUAACUACGUG
This 466-nucleotide ribosomal RNA is filed under the name uncultured bacterium. RNAcentral's name for it is "partial 16S ribosomal RNA". It matches the Rfam family "Bacterial small subunit ribosomal RNA", at positions 28 to 507 of the family's 1533-position model. The record is from RNAcentral.